GAACAUGAUUUGAGGUAUAAUUAAUAAGAAGGGAAAAAAAGAAUGCGAAAAGAAAGAGAAGAUAUUUAGACGGGUAAGCCAAAUUCAUCGAAUCCGAGCUCUCUCAUAACUUCCUUGCACUCAGGAACCCUUUCCUUCUUCAUGAAUGACAGAGGAUUGGCUUGGCGGACGGCAUUGGUGAUUCCACUGUUGCUGGUGAUGCUCACUCGAGACUUGUGCGCAUACCCUCCCUCCGUCACCUCAUCGCAGUCUGAAUCGCUGCUCUUCUCCAGCGACACCUCGCACACAUCUUCCUCGUGGUCGCCGUCCGCCUCGAUCUUGCUGCCAGGUUAAGAAGCGUCAUGAAGCAAAGGGCUGAAACAAGCAUGAUUGCGGAUUUUGCCAUUGUUUUUGUUGUUGUUCUUCUUCUUCUUUGCUCGUUCGCUCUUUUUCGCUUUUGAUUGAGAGGUGUGGAUGAAGAUGGAGAAUGAACUGCUGAUUUUAUAGCUCUAUUUUGGGGUUUAAUCCGUUACUUGAUUGCUAUUCUUAGGAGCUUAGCAAUGGUUUCUUGUUAUUAAUUUGUUGCCAGAAAAUCAGGCUUCCCUCUUUGAUCGAGUCAAAUUGUAAAAAUGUUUGAAAAAAAACAAUCAUUUGUUUACUCUAAUCUUAUUGGAUUGUGUCA
Long non-coding RNA from Cucurbita pepo subsp. pepo (vegetable marrow), 661 nucleotides. RefSeq lists it as uncharacterized. NCBI's taxonomy places the organism in Eukaryota, Viridiplantae, Streptophyta, Magnoliopsida, Cucurbitales, Cucurbitaceae. The record is from RefSeq and is a predicted model, not a curated record.